Molecule: long non-coding RNA, 645 nt
Organism: Gossypium arboreum
Lineage: Eukaryota; Viridiplantae; Streptophyta; Magnoliopsida; Malvales; Malvaceae
Exons: 2
Source: RefSeq, a predicted model, not a curated record
UUGAGUCUGGUCACUAACGCGGGUCGGCCAAUGAAACGACGCCGUUGUGGCGUUUAAAUUUUGGCCCAAAACGACUCCAUUUAAUACUCCUUAUUUAAGCCAAAACUUUUUCAGAAAAAAAUCAUUUUAAACUCUUUCUAAAAAAAAACCAAAACUUCUUUUCUUUUUCUCUGCAGCAGGCGUAUCUCAGGCCAAUGCUCUGGCAAGCCACCACCGCACACGCCACCGCCGCCGCCAUAUAUGGCGGCCGACGUUAAAAAAGGUACGUGGGCGUGGAUGGCGUGGGCGCAUGGUGAAGAACGUGGGUGGUGGAGGCGUGGGUAGUAGAGGCUGAAACGUGCGGCGGCUGGUCAAUGUGGCUAGGGUUUUUUUUUUUUGCUGAAAAAUUUUGUUUGUUAUGGGCUGUUUGGGCUCUAGGGUUAGGUAUUAUUUUGGGUCUGUUUGGAUUUGGUUAUUUAGGGUUAGAAAUUAGAUUGGUAAUGGGUCUUGGGCCCUGAUAUUUGUAAAAGGGACAUUGGACCUUAAUUAUUUUUUGGUUUAAAUUUGUUUUAUUUUGUAAUCUGGGCCCGGGCUAAAAUUGGGUCUUACAGAUCUCAUUUCCUUUUCUGAAAUGAAUGCAUUCCUUAGAAGGAUAUUCAUACAUAA